This 643-nucleotide ribosomal RNA is filed under the name uncultured rumen bacterium. Its description in RNAcentral is "bacterial SSU rRNA". It matches the Rfam family "Bacterial small subunit ribosomal RNA", at positions 65 to 719 of the family's 1533-position model. The record is from RNAcentral.
UGUGAAUGAAGUUUUCGGAUGAAUUUCACUUUUUCGAGUGGCGGACGGGUGAGUAACGCGUGGGUAACCUGCCUUACACUGGGGGACAACAGAGAGAAAUUUCUGCUAAUACCGCAUAACCCGCUAGGGCCGCAUGGCCCAGACGGAAAAGAUUUAUCGGUGUAAGAUGGACCCGCGUCUGAUUAGCUUGUUGGUGAGGUAACGGCCCACCAAGGCAACGAUCAGUAGCCGAACUGAGAGGUUGACCGGCCACAUUGGGACUGAGACACGGCCCAGACUCCUACGGGAGGCAGCAGUGGGGAAUAUUGCACAAUGGGGGGAACCCUGAUGCAGCAACGCCGCGUGAGUGAGGAAGUAUUUCGGUAUGUAAAGCUCUAUCAGCAGGGAAGAGAUUGACGGUACCUGCAUAAGAAGCCCCGGCUAACUACGUGCCAGCAGCCGCGGUAAUACGUAGGGGGCAAGCGUUAUCCGGAUUUACUGGGUGUAAAGGGAGCGCAGACGGUUCAGUAAGUCAGAAGUGAAAACCCGCGGCCCAACUGCGGGACUGCUUUUGAAACUAUUGGACUAGAGUGCUGGAGGGGCAAGCGGAAUUCCUGGUGUAGCGGUGAAAUGCGUAGAUAUCAGGAGGAACACCGGUGGCGAA